Molecule: long non-coding RNA, 364 nt
Filed under: Mus pahari (shrew mouse)
Lineage: Eukaryota; Metazoa; Chordata; Mammalia; Rodentia; Muridae
Description: lncRNA (MGP_PahariEiJ_G0005827.1)
Source: RNAcentral
UUCUUCUUCUGCGCCUGCGCGCUGUGCCAUGGGCGUGCAUCUGCGGUCCUUGCGCCUUUAUUUCCAUCGACCACACCUACAAAGGAAGAUGGUCCUGUGCGGAGUACGCGUACACCUUUCCCAGACCUAUUAUGUAGAUCUUUCUUUGUGAAUGAAGACGUUUGAGGAGAACGAACUAAACAGCCUACUUAUUUACAAGCCAGUUUCCUAAGGGUGCCGCUGCCCUACAGCCAUGGGCCUCUGGGCUCGUUUGUUAAGUCUGUUUUGAACAUGCAUGCACUGGGCUGCCUGCUUUGGCUCUUGGGCCUGCAUUUGUUGUAUCUCCUUUAAAAAAAUAAAAAAAAAUAAACCAGCCUAUAUCUUU